UACAUAUUUAUAUAUAACUUAAUGUAAGGAUGUUAAAUCACGUCCGUCCAUCAAGGACGUGUCCAGAUACAUCCUAACUGUAAGAUCUACCGUAUCUUUAUAGAUCGACUUAAAUAGAUUGACUGUAUCUUUAUGGAUCGCCUUAAAUAUAUCACGUGGGCCACAUCCAACAUUCUCCCACUUGGUCUAGUGAUAUAUUCAUUACUGUAGAGGCGAUACAAAACUUUAUUAGGUACCAACUAAAUUAUACAGUCAAAAUCUCCCACUCGACCAAGAAAUCACAAUACUUUGAUCAUAGCGGUUAUGCCCCAAAAGAUGAACACUUCCUUGCAUGUAUCAAAAGUACGAAUUCCUUAAUCAAAUAACUUUAUGAGUUACAACCGUAUGAACUUAUUAUAAGUUCAACUCAGAGUCCCACUUUAGUGCACAAUAAAACUUUAAUGUACAAAAAUAACUUUAUGCGCAUAUGUGCAAAAACCAAAAUAUGUUCUUACUCAAAUA
RNAcentral lists this long non-coding RNA (501 nucleotides) under Ananas comosus (pineapple). RNAcentral's name for it is "long non-coding RNA (ACOM_LNC019533)". The record is from RNAcentral. Lineage: Eukaryota; Viridiplantae; Streptophyta; Magnoliopsida; Poales; Bromeliaceae.